RNAcentral lists this ribosomal RNA (465 nucleotides) under uncultured bacterium. RNAcentral's name for it is "partial 16S ribosomal RNA". It matches the Rfam family "Bacterial small subunit ribosomal RNA", at positions 338 to 795 of the family's 1533-position model. The record is from RNAcentral.
CCUACGGGAGGCAGCAGUGGGGAAUUUUGCGCAAUGCUCGUAAGAGUGACGCAGCGACGCCGCGUGAAUGACGAAGGCCCUCGGGUCGUAAAGUUCUUUCGACAGGGAAGAAAAUGCCUACAAGUAACUGUGUAUGUAUUGACGGUACCUGUAUAAGCAGCCCCGGCGAACUCCGUGCCAGCAGCCGCGGUAAUACGGAGGGGGCGAGCGUUGUUCGGGGUGACUGGGCGUAAAGAGCACGUAGGCGGUGUUGUAAGUCAUUAGUCAAAGACUAGCGCUCAACUUUAGUAAGGCUAGUGAUACUAUAAUACGAGAGUAUCAGAGAGGAUUGCAGAAUGCCUGGUGUAGCGGUGAAAUGCGUAGAUAUCAGGAGGAAUACCGUUAGCGAAGGCAGCAAUCUGGCUGGAAACUGACGCUGAGGUGCGAAAGCGUGGGUAGCGAACAGGAUUAGAUACCCUAGUAGUC